Molecule: ribosomal RNA, 241 nt
Filed under: uncultured bacterium
Lineage: Bacteria
Description: partial 16S ribosomal RNA
Rfam family: Bacterial small subunit ribosomal RNA
Source: RNAcentral
GCAAGUCGAGCGUGAAAGCCUUCGGGUGAGUAGAGCGGCGGACGGGUGAGUAACGCGUGGGAAUCUACCUAGUAGUGGGGGACAACGUUCGGAAACGGGCGCUAAUACCGCAUACGCCCUACGGGGGAAAGCGGGGGAUCUUCGGACCUCGUGCUAUUAGAUGAGCCCGCGUAAGAUUAGCUAGUUGGUGGGGUAAAGGCCUACCAAGGCGACGAUCUUUAGCUGGUCUGAGAGGAUGAUC